CACUGCCAGACUUUGUCGUGUGUCCUUCCUGCCGGCCAGGAGCGGACAUCGACAAAAAGUGUUUUAGAGACAUAAAAAAUAAGACUAAGCUCUAUCGAAGUCGUAAAAAACUCCAGAUAAAGUAUAAACCAUAAACAAAUGCAAUCUUAACAAGUCUGAACACAUGAAAGCUAAGGUCCAAACUGGGAUUAAAUACCCCACUAUGCUUAGCCAUAAACAUAAAACCUUACAUAACAAAAGUUUUCGCCUGAGAACCACUAGCAAUAGCUUAAAACUCAAAGGACUUGGCGGUGCUUUAUACCCACCUAGAGGAGCCUGUUCUAUAAUCGAUAAACCCCGAUAUGCCUCCCCACUCCUUGCUAAUUCGGCCUAUAUACCGCCAUCUUCAGCAAACUCAAUUAUGGAAACAAAGUAAGCAUAAAUAUAUCACAUAGAAACGUUAGGUCAAGGUGUAGCCAAUGGAGUGGGAAGAAAUGGGCUACAUUUCCUUACUGAAGAACAACAGAUGCAAGUCUUUAUGAAAUUUAAAGACCUAAGGAAGAUUUAGUAGUAAAUCAAGAAUAGAGAGCUUGGUUGAACUAGGCCAUGAAGCCCGUACACACCGCCCGUCACCCCCUCAAGUACCCAAGAGUUUUAUACAAACUAACAAAUACAAGAGGAGACAAGUCAUAACAAAGUAAGCAUACUGGGAAAGGGUGGGAGAAGCCCGGGCAGGAUUGAAGCUGCUCCUUU
This 732-nucleotide non-coding RNA is filed under the name Cavia porcellus (domestic guinea pig). Its description in RNAcentral is "Bacterial small subunit ribosomal RNA". It matches the Rfam family "Bacterial small subunit ribosomal RNA", at positions 574 to 1533 of the family's 1533-position model. The record is from Rfam by way of RNAcentral. Lineage: Eukaryota; Metazoa; Chordata; Mammalia; Rodentia; Caviidae.